GAUGAACGCUGGCGGCGUGCCUAAUACAUGCAAGUCGAGCGAACAGACGAGGAGCUUGCUCCUUUGACGUUAGCGGCGGACGGGUGAGUAACACGUGGGUAACCUACCUAUAAGACUGGGAUAACUUCGGGAAACCGGAGCUAAUACCGGAUAAUAUUUCGAACCGCAUGGUUCGAUAGUGAAAGAUGGCUCUGCUAUCACUUAUAGAUGGACCUGCGCCGUAUUAUCUAGUUGGUAAGGUAACGGCUUACCAAGGCAACGAUACGUAGCCGACCUGAGAGGGUGAUCGGACACACUGGAACUGAGACACGCUCCAGACUCCUACGGGAGGCAGCAGUAGGGAAUCUUCCGCAAUGGGCGAAAGCCUGACGGAGCAACGCCGAGUGAGUGAUGAAGGUCUUCGGAUCGUAAAACUCUGUUAUUAGUGAAGAACAAACGUGUAAGUAACUGUGCACGUCUUGACGGUACCUAAUCAGAAAGCCACGGCUAACUACGUG
This 497-nucleotide ribosomal RNA is filed under the name uncultured bacterium. RNAcentral describes it as "partial 16S ribosomal RNA". It matches the Rfam family "Bacterial small subunit ribosomal RNA", at positions 28 to 507 of the family's 1533-position model. The record is from RNAcentral.